Otolemur garnettii (small-eared galago) is the source of this 461-nucleotide long non-coding RNA. RefSeq lists it as uncharacterized. Lineage: Eukaryota; Metazoa; Chordata; Mammalia; Primates; Galagidae. The record is from RefSeq and is a predicted model, not a curated record. The transcript has 4 exons.
GGAAGAGACGCACCCGUUGGUCCCCGCCUUUGAACGCCUUCAAGCCCUCAAAGAGCUGUGGGGACAGGAACUUUGGCCCCAGCCCUGAGAUAAGCUCAGAUGAGAAGACGACAGGGAAGGUGCACAGAUAAGUGAAGACCUCCCAGGACCCAACCCCUGAAAAGCCUUAGAAAGCCCUGCAGGGAAACAGCUGGAUGAGCUGGCACCAAUAAGUGAGAAUGGAUAUGAAUGACACCAGUCAUGGGUCAGCAGAUUUUUGAAAACUCUGCUGUUUGAUAUCAUAUCAGUAAGAAUGGAUCAUCUCUUGCCUGGAGGAACUAUGUCAUUUUGACAAAAAGAACUUGCCUCAAUUUCCAAUCCAGGUGCACACUUCAAAUAAGUAGUUUUGGAGACACAUCACUCCCACCUAGCCUUUAUCUACCUUUAGUUUCAAGAAAAUAGAACCUUGGAUGCAAUUCCCA